Molecule: microRNA precursor, 125 nt
Filed under: Hordeum vulgare
Lineage: Eukaryota; Viridiplantae; Streptophyta; Magnoliopsida; Poales; Poaceae
Description: microRNA MIR1122
Rfam family: MIR1120/MIR1122 microRNA precursor family
Source: RNAcentral
UUCAUACUCCCUCCGUCCGGAAAUACUUGUCGUAGAAAUGGAUGUAUCUAGAUGUAUUUUCAUUCUACAUAUAUUCAUUUUUAUCCAUUUAUGUGACAAGUAAUUCCGGACAGAGGGGGUAUCUA